Long non-coding RNA from Chiroxiphia lanceolata (lance-tailed manakin), 4312 nucleotides. RefSeq lists it as uncharacterized. Lineage: Eukaryota; Metazoa; Chordata; Aves; Passeriformes; Pipridae. The transcript has 3 exons. The record is from RefSeq and is a predicted model, not a curated record.
AUUCCUUAAUCAGAAUUUUUAUGAUAAUUUGAAGAAAUGAGAAGCAAAUAGAGUUGCCAAAUCUGUCCACUCUUGAAACUGGAAGAAUUGAGGGGAGUAAUUGGGUGCAAAAUAAACAUAUGUUCACAAGUAAUUGUACUACCACUAUUAAAUUUCUUUCAUUUGGUAAUAGAUAGUAAUUACUUUAAUUUCAAGGGAAAGAGAAGAUUACAUCCUGCAAAACUUUUUCAUGCAAAAUAGUCUAUCCUCCUGUCAGCGAUCCUGCUUAUUUUAAAGUGUCUGCUUGCUUGAGAAAAGGUUUGUCAAAUCAAGUCUUUAAAUGGGAGAGGGGAUUAGGAAACAACAAACAAAAUCCAGCUUGCAGUGGGAGUUAACUUUUGGGGGUGUAGGACAGCAAAUGGACAAUGAAUCAUCAUCUUUUCAGUAUUCGGUGCUAUCAAAACUGUUUUCCUUCCAAGUAGUCCUUUAUUGGCAGAAAAUUUGUGAGUCAGUGAAGGAAAAUGCUAUGGUAAAAUACACAAAAAGAAUCUUGUGCCAAAACCCAAAGUUAAGGCAUAUAUCUGCUACAGGUUUAGGAAAUGAUGAGGAUAAACUGGAAAAGUGUUUCUGUGUUUAAAAAGCCUAAUUGUAACUGUGUAUAUCAGUCUCUUGUCUGUUUUGUACAGCUGCUGGUGCUGUCUCACUGGCAUUUUUGAAAUAAACUGUAUUUUUACAAAAGUCACUAUUUUGGUUUGGGAUAUAAGGAAUAGUUAUUAGUUUUAUGGGUAGGAAAUCUGGAUAUAAUAAUUUUCACUUUUAAAUAAGCUGCUUCAUUCUGUAUGUAAAACAAAACAGCUUCAAUAUGCUUGGGUUUGUAAUUAACAAAUGUUGAGUUGAUCAAAAAUACCUUCUCUAGUACGAUGCAUGGAGAUGAGGCUAGGCUGUGUUACAGAAUAAUGUGAUUAUAAUGAUUUCCUUAAGAGAGCACAAAAGCAGCAUCUAAGUUUCAGCUGACGUUUAUUGACACACAGCAUCCGUUGGGAGCCCCAUCAAACUUCCUAUUCUUUUCUGUUUACCACCUCCUGCUUUUAUUUACAGUCAGCAUAUCUGUUAAUUAGCCUCUGGUAGAGCCAGUUCUUCUAAGAAGAUCUCUUGUCUUCCUGGUGAUGGCCCCAUGAGGUGACCAUGUACACACAGUCUGUGAGUGAAUUAAUCUUUAACUCAUUAAUUUCAGUGCCUGAUUCUGGAAUGUUUAAGUGCUGGCUUGGUUUCCUGCUCAGCAAUUUGUAUUUGGAGAAUUGUGGUUCUUGACUUCCACUGACUUCAAUGUCGUGAACACAUCCGAGUGAGCUUUCAGCUUCUUGUGGUUACCCUACUGAAAGUCUUAUAUUCUUGUGGUUUUUUGGUUUCCUAUGAUUGGACCAGAAUGGAGAUAAGACAUUGGUAACUUCUCUGUGUCAUUGCAGUUAUUUACCUAGUUUUCUUUGCACUUUUGCGGAAUAAAAUUACUCUGCCCCUUCCUCAGCUACCUCUGUUGCACAAUAACUGAAUGAAACAUUUUCGAGAAAAAAUCUGAUAUAACGUUGCGACAGCUGAAUCUCACAAGAGGGUACUCAGUAGGGUACCACACUGUUUUACAGAAUCUCAGUUAGACCUUAUUUGUUUAUAGCCACAGUCUGAAUGCUAGAAGUGCUAGUUGUAGUGCACUUCUCUCGCAGCAUGGCUUGUUUAUUAGAAAAGAAAAAAGUUGCAGCUAUAUUUGCAGGAAGAAUUCGGGAGCAUGAUUCAGAGAUCUCUCGCCCAGGCCUACUGUGUGUGCUAGAAGUGCUUUGAGAGGUGUGAGCUGAUCUGUUCGUCUCACUGGGGUGUUACAAAUCUCGUAGUUUCAUUGUUAAUGGUUGUGUUUGUUUCACCUGAAACUUGAGAAAGGAAUGACUGGGCCACUUAUCUGCACAGUCAACUGUAGGAAAUGUCUUAAAGUGAUGACCCAGUUCCUCACUUUUGCCAGAUGGCAUUUAUUCCUUCUAUGUCCUCCAGCUGAGGAGUAGCCAAACUCUAAAGAUUUAACCAUAAGUUACAGGCACCCUUGAAAUCCUGCCCAGAGCAAGUGCAAGUAUUGAAAACCAUAAAGUGCACUGUAGUAGGGUGAACAUUUUCAUAAUUUAAUGAGUGCUUCACUGAUAAAAAUUCCCUGCUUCAGUUAAAAAAACCCCAAACCAAUAACAAUAAUAAUAAUAAUAAUAACAAGAAAAAAAGCCCAAACAACAGCAUCAUCCCUGGAAUUUGUCCAACUUUUAUGCUGGAGAAGUACCUCAAAGGAGUAUGACGUUCUCUCUUUAGUGUGUGAGUAUAUGUGUUCAUCUAAAAGAUUUUAUGCUUGCAGGACUGCAUCCCAUUGUCUACUUUUUGUGGAUAGGCAGACCCAGGUAAAGUAAUUUAGUUUAAAAAGAACUAUAAACCCUAAUUCCUUUAAAUCAAAUUCCUAAGACAUCCAAGUGUCCAGGAUGCUGUGAAAAGAGACACAAAAAUGAGAAAUAGAAGGUGAAUGUUUGCUACUGAUUGCUCUUGUCUUUGGAGGUUUAGUGCUGAUGCAGUGUUGUGACAAAAAAUCAAUGAAUGAAAGUUUCUGCCACCUUGUAAGUAGCCAAGGCUGAACUGAUCUGUUAAUGUUUCAUGGGGAAAGUUGACAAUGAGGGGAAACAGUGGGUGAUAUUUCUUCAAAACAUGUUAGCUGCUUUUACUUAUUUUGUCGUUUAAGGAUAGAAAGAUAAGAGAUGCUAGAAAUAGUUUCUAGAAUUGGGUGGCCCUUCACCAGUGUUUUAUAGGUACUAUUUAAGCCAUCUUUGCUAAGGAGAAGCUCCUUUACUAUUAAUAUGCUGUCAUCUUUCAGAUCUCAUCAAGGCAGCACCAGAAUUUUUUUGCACAGAUUUCCUUUGACAUACAGCCUCAAUAAAUAUGGAAAUUACAGCUUAAAUCUCAUUUUUUUUCUUGCAAAGCAGCACAGUGCCUAAAUUCAUUGAAUUUCAACUUUUAUUUUUUCUUAAUGUUGAAAGACAUAUAUGCAAAUUUUAUUAACAAUAUGCAUGGUUAAAUUUAGCUGUAAACUCCAGUCAGGGAUUUUUGCUUUGUUUAUUGUCCAAGUCAAUAUGACUGUGGAGAAAACCUCCUGCUGUGCAGGAAUACACAGUCAGCUACUUGGAAAAGUGGAAAGUUUAAUUAUGAGAGUUUAUUCUGAAAAAAGGUAAAACAAGCACUGUUUUUUGGGUUGACUUUUUUUAUUAUGACUUCAGGUAGCAGAAGUACAACACACGCAGUUUAUUUUGACAGUAACUGUUCUCAGACAAACCAUUUGAUUUUUCUUUAACCCGGUCAUCUGUGUAACUGAGGGGUUCUGAAAGAGAAGUCAUGAAUAAAUGAUGCAUUUCUUAAACUUGCAAGGUAGAUAAUGACAUAAAUGAAAUAAAAUCCAAGUGUGAAGGGAAAAAAGAAGCAUGAACACAUGUAUUGCUGACAAUAUCUUCAUUAAAAUAUACUUUAUCCUAGGAAGAUAUUAGUGUCAGGUUGCCUGAAAGAUGCAAAUUUCCUUUGUUGCUCUCUCUAAAGUUGUUUUGAUUUUUGUCCACGGUAACAGUGAAAUACGCUUAUACAAGGUUUUUGAGUGGAAGGGUAAAUUAUUGCUGGAGAAUGUGUGUUAUAAAUGAUAUCCAAACAUAUUCUCAUGUUUAUAAUAGAAAGCUUUCCAAGACUGUAGUUACUGGAGUGGUUCCCAUGUGUUCAGUUUUUUGUAAGUCGUUUACAUGGAAUACAUUUUAUCUAGCUGUCUAAAAGACCCCCCACUGCAUGCAAAGAAGGUGUUUCUCCUGCUUAUCUGGACUGUACAUAAUACUGUAAUAAUCUGUAUUUCUCCUUGUAAUUCAGUGCAUAUUUCUCCUUUCUAAGCCUGUUCAAAUGUAACAUGAAGAGUGUUUUCAUGAUAAUUCUACUAUGGAUGAUAGUAACUAUAUUCUAAACCAAAAAAUUAAAAAAAAAAUUUUGUAUGGCUAAUAUUUGGGUUGCAUGACUUUCAUCAGAUGUGAAAUCAUAUUCUUUUUUUCUUUGCAUCUGUGUAGGACUGAUCCAUAACCUGAGCUAGUAGGUUCUACAGUAAUACAAAUGGUACAUGAUAAUUGUGUGUGAAGAAAGGCUGGCAGCUUUACAGAAGAAAUCUCUGAACCUGUAGGCACUCGUAUAUUUUUACUUAGCAAUAAGAACUAAUGUUACUCUGUGGACAGUGUAAGCUGGAGUAAACAGUAGAUAUGAUGUAGAAGAUAACUAUCAGCUCUGGAGAGAAACC